RNAcentral lists this unclassified non-coding RNA (183 nucleotides) under Basidiomycota sp. RNAcentral describes it as "partial contains small subunit ribosomal RNA, internal transcribed spacer 1, and 5.8S ribosomal RNA". The stretch from base 1 to 47 matches the Rfam family "Eukaryotic small subunit ribosomal RNA", at positions 1785 to 1831 of the family's 1831-position model. The record is from RNAcentral. Lineage: Eukaryota; Fungi; Basidiomycota.
AAAGUCGUAACAAGGUUUCCGUAGGUGAACCUGCGGAAGGAUCAUUAGUGAAUUGAGCUGGCUUCGGCCGCUCUGAUCUAUACACACCUGUGAACUGUUGGCCUUCGGGUCUUUAAUUACAACUGUGACGAACGUAAAUUAUUAUAACAAAUAAAACUUUUAACAACGGAUCUCUUGGCUCUC